AAGUCGUAACAAGGUUUCCGUAGGUGAACCUGUGGAAGGAUCAUUAAAGAAUUCGGCUUCGCGGCCAAGUUCUCACCCUUUGUCAUUACCGAAACCUAAUGUUGCUUUGGCAUGGCCCCUUGGCAGUUUCCUCGGGCCUUGCCAGAGGGCUUCAUAAAGUCCCUAACGAAAUCUCUGCUGUCUGAGUACUAUGCAAUAGUUAAAA
Molecule: unclassified non-coding RNA, 205 nt
Filed under: plant metagenome
Description: partial contains small subunit ribosomal RNA and internal transcribed spacer 1
Rfam family: Eukaryotic small subunit ribosomal RNA (bases 1-46)
Source: RNAcentral